Long non-coding RNA from Tachysurus fulvidraco (yellow catfish), 518 nucleotides. RefSeq lists it as uncharacterized. NCBI's taxonomy places the organism in Eukaryota, Metazoa, Chordata, Actinopteri, Siluriformes, Bagridae. The transcript has 3 exons. The record is from RefSeq and is a predicted model, not a curated record.
GUUUAAUAUUUGAAUUUGAUUCCGAGCUAUCCUGAAUCUCACAACAUUCAUCCCUGGCACCCAGGCAUAUUGUGGAGGAUUGCACAACCACAGUUGGCAGAAUGACAGGGUCAACAUCCAAACAGCCUGCAAGAACUGUUGUCAAUUAAAGUUAUUAAUUAAAUUGUUUGGAAUAAACAAAAGUAAAACUGGUUGUUGCUUACAAAAUAUCGAGUCAAAAGGCGAAUUGAAACACAGCAUGUUCAUCUUCCCGCGUUCACCUUUAUUUAAUGUUAAUCAUUGAAAGCAAAUACAUGGCAUGUUUCUGAAGCUUUUUAUAGACACAAAGCUGACUUUCAUCAAACGCUGCAGGUGGACUUCCAUUAUGAACAGAUGUCAGCUCAUGCACUCUGUACAAAGAUUUUGGAUGACAGUUUUUGCAGUUCUUCUUGACUACAAUGUUUGAGGAGUAAUGAUUGAAUGCUUUGCAUAAGGUAUCCUUGGAACAGGAAAAAUACAUGGUGAAUCAUGGUAAAUUU